RNAcentral lists this transfer RNA (72 nucleotides) under Pseudomonadota bacterium. RNAcentral's name for it is "tRNA-Glu". It matches the Rfam family "tRNA". From Rfam's summary of the family: Transfer RNA (tRNA) molecules are approximately 80 nucleotides in length. Their secondary structure includes four short double-helical elements and three loops (D, anti-codon, and T loops). Further hydrogen bonds mediate the characteristic L-shaped molecular structure. tRNAs have two regions of fundamental functional importance: the anti-codon, which is responsible for specific mRNA codon recognition, and the 3' end, to which the tRNAs corresponding amino acid is attached (by aminoacyl-tRNA synthetases). tRNAs cope with the degeneracy of the genetic code in two manners: having more than one tRNA (with a specific anti-codon) for a particular amino acid; and 'wobble' base-pairing, i.e. permitting non-standard base-pairing at the 3rd anti-codon position. The record is from RNAcentral. RNAcentral also lists the same sequence under 5 other names. Lineage: Bacteria; Pseudomonadati; Pseudomonadota.
GGUCCCAUCGUCUAGCGGUUAGGACGCCGGCCUCUCACGUCGGUAACAGGGGUUCGAAUCCCCUUGGGACCA